CGGGGUUUAGUUUGUAGUAAUACACGCCUAAAUCCAGUGGCGAACGGGUGCGUAACACGUGAGUAAUCUGCCGGGAAGUGGGGGAUAGCUCGCCGAAAGGCGAAUUAAUACCGCAUAUGACAAGGGAAGACAUCUUUCCGAAGUCAAAGUCGCAAGACGCUUCCUGAUGAACUCGCGGCCUAUCAGCUAGUUGGUGAGGUAACGGCUCACCAAGGCAAUGACGGGUAGCUGGUCUGAGAGGACGACCAGCCACACUGGAACUGAGACACGGUCCAGACACCUACGGGUGGCAGCAGUCGAGAAUUUUUCACAAUGGGGGAAACCCUGAUGGAGCGACGCCGCGUGGAGGAUGAAGGUCUUCGGAUUGUAAACUCCUGUCAUGCGAGAACAAGAAAGUGAUAGUAUCGCAAGAGGAAGAGACGGCUAACUCUGUGCCAGCAGCCGCGGUAAUACAGAGGUCUCAAGCGUUGUUCGGAUUCAUUGGGCGUAAAGGGUGCGUAGGUGGCGUGGAAAGUUGAGUGUGAAAUCCUAGGGCUUAACCUUAGAACUGCACUCAAUACUCCCAUGCUAGAGGAAUGUAGAGGAGAGUGGAAUUCACGGUGUAGCAGUGAAAUGCGUAGAUAUCGUGAGGAAGACCAGUUGCGAAGGCGACUCUCUGGGCAUUUCCUGACACUGA
Molecule: ribosomal RNA, 676 nt
Filed under: uncultured Verrucomicrobiota bacterium
Lineage: Bacteria; Pseudomonadati; Verrucomicrobiota
Description: bacterial SSU rRNA
Rfam family: Bacterial small subunit ribosomal RNA
Source: RNAcentral